GACGAACGCUGGCGGCGUGCUUAACACAUGCAAGUCGAACGGAAAGGCCCUGCUUUUGUGGGGUGCUCGAGUGGCGAACGGGUGAGUAACACGUGAGUAACCUGCCCUUGACUUUGGGAUAACUUCAGGAAACUGGGGCUAAUACCGGAUAGGAGCUCCUGCUGCAUGGUGGGGGUUGGAAAGUUUCGGCGGUUGGGGAUGGACUCGCGGCUUAUCAGCUUGUUGGUGGGGUAGUGGCUUACCAAGGCUUUGACGGGUAGCCGGCCUGAGAGGGUGACCGGCCACAUUGGGACUGAGGUACGGCCCAGACUCCUACGGGGGGCAGCAGUGGGGAAUAUUGCACAAUGGGCGGAAGCCUGAUGCAGCAACGCCGCGUGCGGGAUGACGGCCUUCGGGUUGUAAACCGCUUUCGCCUGUGACGAAGCGUGGGUGACGGUAAUGGGUAAAGAAGCACCGGCUAACUACGUG
Molecule: ribosomal RNA, 468 nt
Filed under: uncultured bacterium
Lineage: Bacteria
Description: partial 16S ribosomal RNA
Rfam family: Bacterial small subunit ribosomal RNA
Source: RNAcentral